This 253-nucleotide ribosomal RNA is filed under the name uncultured bacterium. RNAcentral's name for it is "partial 16S ribosomal RNA". It matches the Rfam family "Bacterial small subunit ribosomal RNA", at positions 524 to 776 of the family's 1533-position model. The record is from RNAcentral.
UACGGGGGGGGCAAGCGUUGUUCGGAAUUACUGGGCGUAAAGGGCUCGUAGGCGGCCAACUAAGUCAGACGUGAAAUCCCUCGGCUUAACCGGGGAACUGCGUCCGAUACUGGAUGGCUUGAGUUUGGGAGAGGGAUGCGGAAUUCCAGGUGUAGCGGUGAAAUGCGUAGAUAUCUGGAGGAACACCGGUGGCGAAGGCGGCAUCCUGGACCAACACUGACGCUGAGGAGCGAAGGCCAGGGGAGCAAACGGG